Molecule: transfer RNA, 68 nt
Filed under: Ruditapes variegatus
Lineage: Eukaryota; Metazoa; Mollusca; Bivalvia; Venerida; Veneridae
Also listed under: 1 other name
Description: tRNA-Gln
Source: RNAcentral
GGCAGAGUAGUGUAAUGUGCACGUAGGGUUUUGGUCCCUGUAGAAACUGAUCAAAUAGUUUUCUGUUA